UUAAGUUCAGCGGGUAUUCCUACCUGAUCCGAGGUCAACCUUGAGAAAUAAUAAAAAGGUCUAAUAUCAAUCAACCUCUUAAGAUGCGUGCUAUUGAAAGCUCGUUGCAUCAAGGGUCAAAAGACACCGCCAUUGUCUUUGGGAUUGUUGAUUUGCACAACAGUUCCAACAACAAGCUAAGCUUGAGGGUUGAUAAUGAC
This 200-nucleotide unclassified non-coding RNA is filed under the name Herpotrichiellaceae sp. RNAcentral's name for it is "partial internal transcribed spacer 2". The record is from RNAcentral. Lineage: Eukaryota; Fungi; Ascomycota; Eurotiomycetes; Chaetothyriales; Herpotrichiellaceae.